Molecule: unclassified non-coding RNA, 2831 nt
Filed under: Hevea brasiliensis (rubber tree)
Lineage: Eukaryota; Viridiplantae; Streptophyta; Magnoliopsida; Malpighiales; Euphorbiaceae
Source: RNAcentral
AGAUUUUGAUAGAUGAAAGAUAGGUAAUGCAUUCAACGAUUCAAAUAAUGCAAGAAAAGCAGUCGCCACAAAUCAAAAGAAAACUGCCAAAAUUCCUUUGUACUAAAAUUGAUCCAAAACCUAUAUGUACUAAAAUUGAUGUAUAACAGGCACUAGAAUGGAAAUACAACAUUCCAAAAAAAAAUCAAUGACAUGUAUUCCCAAUUACAAAAAUCUAACAAAGAUAAAGAGGAAGGAAUAUACACUCUUGAUUUUUAUUUAUUUAUUAUUUUUUUUAUAAGUUCCUCCAGGCAUUGCCAUUCUGCAGCACUUCAGUCAUUUGAUCUCUCAACCCGUCAACAAUGCCAGGUGACAGAGGCUGGCACCGCAUUGACAAAGAUAACUCUGUUCUCCAGCUGCAAUUUGUGCUACUAUCUGUCUGGAAUUGUCCAGGCCAAUGUUAGUUACAAGGGUAAUAAACUCGGCCAAUAGAGCAAAACUGCCACUACAAUAGAGGCUGCACCAGCAAUAAGCUGCACUGGAACCACACCUGAGGAUGAUGCGCUGCUUGCAUGUUUGCUUGAUAUGUACAUCAUAGUCUUAUUCACCAGGGGAAGCGUCGCUCCAUCCUUUCGUCUACCCAGCAAUUUCUGGCUGCAAUUUCCAUAACAAAAAAAAAUAAAUCAUUAAUCCAGGAAAGCAAUAACGUGCCUAACAUUUUUCAAUGCAGCAAAGCUUGCACAUAAGCAUGAGCUCAAUACUUGCACAAACAUUACAUUGUUUUCAACUUAUGAAUUUAAUCACACGCUAACUUAAACUAUGGGGCAAAAAUAUUACUAUCCAUUAGCAAUGGCUCAGUAAACUGAUUGCAGGGCUAGAAGUUCCAACCCAAAAAGAGCGCUGGCAAACCAUUUCAAAUAACUUGAAAAACCAAUCUUUUUAACUAUGCUUUACAUUUGAUUAAGACCCAUUCAUGAAUUUAACUUGGACUAUAAUUUGACUAUCAUCUUGACGCCCAUACUAGCAAAAGCAGCAAGUCAUCUAAACAUUUCCUAAAGCAAUAUCUAUGAUAUCAACAACAAAAGAUGCGACGCACACUAGCUAGAUUUUAAUUUGAACGAGUUCUAGCCAUUAAAAUUAAUACAUGAAAAAGAAGAGAGUGCUAAAUGUCAGGAUUUCUGGUGCAUUUAAUACAAGCCAACCAUUAAAUAAAAAUAUUUAUAUUAAGAUAUGUAUAGAAUUAAUUAAAAUAUGUACAUUAAGAGAAUGAAUUUAUAUGUAAAUCUAACAGAGAAGCUCUCAAGUUUAUAAUAGCCUCACCUUGGAAAAAUGCUUGAGCAUGGUAAGUAUGUCCGCAUUGAAUUAUUAUUCUAUAUUGGCAGAUUUGUGUAGCAUCAUUAUUUAUGGUUACUUGAAGAGUGUCACCUUUCGAUUAUUUAUUUUGCUACUAAUCUAUCAAUAUCACACCUCAAUUAUUCUCUACUUCAGCAUCACCCGAAAUUUCUGGACGCUGCCAGCAUGUCAAUUCUGUUUACUGCUAAAAAUACUAAAUUACCCUCCCACAUUUCUGCAAUAUGAACAGAAAAAGAGAUGCACCUCUUGAGGUUAAUUAGUAAUUUUACCUGGAAUACGGUGGCGGGCAAAACAUUAUAACAUAAUCGGUGUUGGCACAAGUGUACGUACUGGUCUUGUCAUCGUACGCGUAGCUAUAUGCGCGUGGGCAAGCGUGUUUGAAAAACUGUGAAUAAACAGACGGCGAGCACGUGUCAGGCGUAGAAUAGGCCUCACUGCAACAAAACUGCGGUUGCCCAAAUGCCUCGCACGCGCUCCUACAAGCGAUUCCAACUUGCCCAUUCUCACGCGCUGCCAAUUUCAACUCCUUCGGGCACGCGCCGUUUAGGUCUAUCAAACACCCCGUGGCACCGCAGAGGCCGUUUGUGGUUUUCUUGGGGAUCAAGAGCAUAGGGAGGUUGUAGCCGUCGACUAAGCUGACGUCAUAAAAAUCCAAGCCCCCGGCGCCGUUAAGCGUGAACUCUGCUAAAGUGGCAGGAGGAAUAGCCCCGCUGCCGCCACAUUCUAGUUUCCCUGACCCACAAUCACCAGUUUGACAAGAAAACUUACCAGAGGAAUCUUGGGCACAGGUAGUCCGACCCCAUAUCCGACCUGACCACGAUCUGGGUAUGUUUAUGGUUUUUGAUUUGCCGCUAUUAAGUGCAAAGCCCGUGGUGGGAAGCUGUGCGGUGCCGGCGCCGGAUAGCAAGCCAGGCCACACCGUGUAGCGGCACUUGUUGAUGAGCUUGAAAGAUGCUGGUUCAACAUCUGCGAGAAUUGGAAUGAAAAAGAAGAAGAAAUAAUCAAUUUUAAUGAAAUCGCAAGGUGUUUAUAAACCGUAGUGAUGAGUAUUUACUGUACCUGAGAGAGAAGAAAGCGAGAGGAGAAUAAGAAAGGUGGCAGAGAAAGAAAAAAGACGACCCAUUAUUGAUGAAGAGAAAUGAGAAAGAUGAAUUGAAUUGAAUGAGGAGAAGUUAGCGUUGAGAGUGAACAAAGAACUUUACUUUUCUUGUUAAGAGGGAAGCCAGUUGGGGAUAUCUGCUUUUCCCUGUUUGGACUUUGGUUCGUAAAUCAAAGACUUGGUUCAAUUUUACUAAAAUAGUCUUAAGAUUGAAAGAUUAGAGUUCAAACCCAGCCAAAACCCAACAAAAAUCACAAAAUCAACCCAGUAAAAACUAAUCAUACAAAUACUUGGUGGGAAGCAACCCAUGAAAGUGAGUAUUUUACCUUGACGAGGACGGCCAAAACGUCACCGUAUAAUGUCAUACCCGUGGCUCUACGAUCUAGGACAUGCAGCCUUA